CCCUUAGAUGUUCUGGGCUGCACGCGCGCUACACUGAUGCGUUCAACGAGUAACUAACCUUGUCCGAUAGGAUUGGGUAACCUUUUGAAAACGCAUCGUGAUGGGGAUAGAUUAUUGUAAUUGUUAGUCUUCAACGAGGAAUUCCCAGUAAGUGCGGGUCAUCAGCUCGCGUUGAUUACGUCCCUGCCCUUUGUACACACCGCCCGUCGCUGCCCGGAACUGAGCCGUUUCGAGAAGACUGAGGAUUGCUGACUUGAGGCCUUCACGGGCUUCUAGUCGGUGAAAAUCAAUUUAAUCGCAGCGGCUUGAACCGGGCAAAAGUCGUAACA
Molecule: ribosomal RNA, 329 nt
Filed under: uncultured eukaryote
Lineage: Eukaryota
Description: partial 18S ribosomal RNA
Rfam family: Eukaryotic small subunit ribosomal RNA
Source: RNAcentral